Molecule: non-coding RNA, 23 nt
Filed under: Arabidopsis thaliana (thale cress)
Lineage: Eukaryota; Viridiplantae; Streptophyta; Magnoliopsida; Brassicales; Brassicaceae
Source: RNAcentral
UCAAAAGUAAUGAUGUCAAUGAA